Molecule: ribosomal RNA, 403 nt
Filed under: Pythium monospermum
Lineage: Eukaryota; Oomycota; Peronosporomycetes; Pythiales; Pythiaceae
Description: partial small subunit ribosomal RNA
Rfam family: Eukaryotic small subunit ribosomal RNA
Source: RNAcentral
GCUUGUCUCAAAGAUUAAGCCAUGCAUGUCUAAGUAUAAACAAUUUUGUACUGUGAAACUGCGAAUGGCUCAUUAUAUCAGUUAUAGUCUACUCGAUAGUACCUUACUACUUGGAUAACCGUAGUAAUUCUAGAGCUAAUACAUGCAUCAAUACCCAACUGCUUGUCGGACGGGUAGCAUUUAUUAGAUUGAAACCAAUGCAGUCUUCGGGCUGGUAUUGUGUUGAGUCAUAAUAACUGUGCGGACCGUACUUUUGUGCGGUAAAUCGAUUGAGUUUCUGCCCUAUCAGCUUUGGAUGGUAGGAUAUGGGCCUACCAUGGCGUUAACGGGUAACGGGGAAUUAGGGUUUGAUUCCGGAGAGGGAGCCUUAGAAACGGCUACCACAUCCAAGGAAGGCAGCAGG